This is a non-coding RNA of Salmo salar (Atlantic salmon), 54 nucleotides long. Lineage: Eukaryota; Metazoa; Chordata; Actinopteri; Salmoniformes; Salmonidae. The record is from Rfam.
UUUACUCUUUACUGUAAAUUGCUCUGGAUAAGAGCAUCUGCUAAAUGACUCAAA